Molecule: ribosomal RNA, 451 nt
Filed under: Enterobacter hormaechei subsp. xiangfangensis
Lineage: Bacteria; Pseudomonadati; Pseudomonadota; Gammaproteobacteria; Enterobacterales; Enterobacteriaceae
Description: partial 23S ribosomal RNA
Rfam family: Bacterial large subunit ribosomal RNA
Source: RNAcentral
UCGCUGUGAAGAUGCAGUGUACCCGCGGCAAGACGGAAAGACCCCGUGAACCUUUACUAUAGCUUGACACUGAACAUUGAGCCUUGAUGUGUAGGAUAGGUGGGAGGCUUAGAAGUGUGGACGCCAGUCUGCAUGGAGCCGACCUUGAAAUACCACCCUUUAAUGUUUGAUGUUCUAACGUUGACCAAAACCAGACAGUAAGCAUGAAUUACAUAUCUUCAUUGACGGAGAAUGGAUGCCUGACAGUCACUGGUCGGCUGACCGUUUUCCACUCUCGAUUUACAGCCAGAAAAUGCUCUAUGAGCUGGCUUCGGAUACUGGUGCAUUCCUGCGCGUCUGUGAUGAGAGCCCGGUGGUUAACAAACGGGCCUGGAAAGAGCGCUGGGAUCAGCUGGAAAGGGAAUAUCUGAAUGAACAAAUCACGUUGCGGGGCCUGCGUGCCAGACAGGGG